CCUACGGGAGGCAGCAGUGGGGAAUAUUGCACAAUGGGGGAAACCCUGAUGCAGCGACUCCGCGUGUGUGAAGACGUCUCUCGGUAUGUACAGCUCUAUCAUCGGGGAAGAUAAUGACGUUACCUGAGUAAGAAGCUCCUGCUAACUACGUGCCAGCAGCCGCGGUCAUACGUAGGGGGAAAGCCGUCUGCGGAUCUACUGGGUGUAAAGGUAGAGUAGACGGCAUGGCAUACAUGAAGUGAAAGCCCGGGGUUAAACCGCGGGACGGCUUAUGAAACUGUUCCGCUGGAGUGCAGGAGAGGUAAGUGGAAUGCCGAGUGUAGCGGUGAAAUGCGUAGAUAUGAGGAAGAACACCAGUGGCGAAGGCAGCUUACUGGAAUGUAACUGACGUUGAGGCUCGAAAGCGUGGGGAGCAAACAGGAUUAGAUACCCUAGUAGUC
RNAcentral lists this ribosomal RNA (440 nucleotides) under uncultured bacterium. RNAcentral describes it as "partial 16S ribosomal RNA". It matches the Rfam family "Bacterial small subunit ribosomal RNA", at positions 338 to 795 of the family's 1533-position model. The record is from RNAcentral.